CGCCCGCCAGCGCCCCGGAGGCCGAAGUCACGCAGUCGCGCUCCGUCGCAGGCCUGUGACGUUACGAACCUCUCCCCCGUGACCUCUUCGACCCAAACCUCAAGCGAAAAUUCCCUAGCUCGCUAGACCGGCGCAGGACUGUGACUGCGCGCCUCCUUUUACCUGAGAGGGACCGCCGGGCCCCCGGGCGCAGCCGCCAAAGGCGGGGAGCCGCCGCCGCCCCGGCGCAACUCAUUGCCGGAACUAAAAAAAGCAACCACUUCGUUGAACGGAACUGGCCAAUAGUGCCCUUGGCUCGGACUGAUGACGCACAGCAGACGUAAGGAAGGCUCAGCUCGCCCGCGCACCGGUGGGAACGCCCCCUAGCUCUGCGCUAGGGGUUAGAUUGGUUAGAUACGACAAAUAAAAAGAUUUUAUUGGGUGGGGUCACUGUCAAUCACUCGGAAGACCAAGGCCAAGGCGCCUUGGGUUGCCAGGGAGAUGAAAAUGCUAAAUUGCUGUUUAGAAAGAUCAGGACAAGGUUAUGAUUUCUCACCCAAGUUCCUGGGGAAAAGGAUCAUGAGGGAAUUACUUAUUAACAAGGAAAAAGCAAAGAGGAACUUUACAAACUAUUACAGUUUUCCAUCAUCACUUGACUGCUGACAAGAAGCCUCUUUGAAUUCCAGUAUACACGAUCACAUUUUAAAACCUUCAAGACGCCGUUUAAUCAGGAGUUGUAAGGCACAUUUGUUAGAGAGAGCUGCACUUUAAAAGUUAUACAGACAUCACCUGAAGUUAUUAAAGUUAUCAAAACAUAUUAAAAACCUUCAAGUAAGAGGCUACUCCCCAGGAAACGUGUGGAGCCAGUGAACGGAAGAAAAACAAUGGAAGGAAGGCUUGAAAAGUCCAUUACAAAACUACAGUCCUUUGAAAAAGAUUUCAAAGAUAUUAAAAUGAAAACUGAUUACAUUAAACAAUAACUUAAACUUCUGUUCUUCUGUUAAAAGGUUGACAUCUAUCAAUUUUGGAUGUUCGCCUUGUACAUACAGAAUGACAGAAAGAGAGAGAAUGACAUGGUUGAGAAAGUCAGCUGAGCAUGUAAUUAACACGUGGAUGAUCACUGUGGAGGCUCUCUAGCCCAUUUCCUCAUUUGUAAAAU
This 1138-nucleotide long non-coding RNA is filed under the name Homo sapiens (human). RNAcentral's name for it is "HSALNT0384822". Lineage: Eukaryota; Metazoa; Chordata; Mammalia; Primates; Hominidae. The record is from RNAcentral.